CAGUCGCCACGGGAAUACGUAGGGUGCGAGCGUUAAUCGGAAUUACUGGGCGUAAAGCGUGCGCAGGCGGUUGUGUAAGACAGGUGUGAAAUCCCCGGGCUUAACCUGGGAACUGCGCUUGUGACUGCACAGCUAGAGUAUGGCAGAGGGGGGUGGAAUUCCACGUGUAGCAGUGAAAUGCGUAGAGAUGUGGAGGAACACCGAUGGCGAAGGCAGCCCCCUGGGCCAAUACUGACGCUCAUGCACGAAAGCGUGGGGAGCAAACAGGAUUAGAUACCCCUGUAGUCCCUGUCUCUUAUAC
This 301-nucleotide ribosomal RNA is filed under the name uncultured bacterium. Its description in RNAcentral is "partial 16S ribosomal RNA". It matches the Rfam family "Bacterial small subunit ribosomal RNA", at positions 509 to 807 of the family's 1533-position model. The record is from RNAcentral.